GGACCCACACAAGCGGUGGAGCAUGGGGUUUAAUUCGAUGAUAAGCGAAGCACCUCACCCAGACUUGACAUGGUAGGAAUCCGGCCGAAAGGUUGGAGUGCCGCAAGGAGCCUACACACAGGCGCUGCACGGUCGUCGUCAGCUCGUGCCUUGAGGUGUACUGUUCAGUCAGCCAACGAGCGCAACCCUGAUCCUAUGUUGUUUUUUCAUAGGAGACUGCCGCCUCCAAGGCGGAGGAAGGUCAGGAUGACGUCAGAUCAGCGUGGCCCUUAUGUCUGGGGCAACACCCGUGCUACAAUGGUCGGUACAAACGGCGGCUAACCCGCGAGGGGGAGCAAAUCCGAUAAAACCGAUCUCAGUCCGGAUUGAAGUCUGCAACUCGACUUCAUGAAGUUGGAAUCGCUAGUAACCGUGAAUCAGCUACGUCACGGUGAAUACGUUCCUGGGUCUU
This 451-nucleotide ribosomal RNA is filed under the name uncultured bacterium. RNAcentral's name for it is "bacterial SSU rRNA". It matches the Rfam family "Bacterial small subunit ribosomal RNA", at positions 917 to 1382 of the family's 1533-position model. The record is from RNAcentral.